This 30-nucleotide non-coding RNA is filed under the name Rattus norvegicus (Norway rat). The record is from RNAcentral. Lineage: Eukaryota; Metazoa; Chordata; Mammalia; Rodentia; Muridae.
UAGCAUGAAGCUUGGGACCUUUCAAUUUGU